GACGAACGCUGGCGGCGUGCUUAACACAUGCAAGUCGAACGGAAAGGCCCUGCUUUUGUGGGGUGCUCGAGUGGCGAACGGGUGAGUAACACGUGAGUAACCUGCCCUUGACUUUGGGAUAACUUCAGGAAACUGGGGCUAAUACCGGAUAGGAGCUCCUGCUGCAUGGUGGGGGUUGGAAAGUUUCGGCGGUUGGGGAUGGACUCGCGGCUUAUCAGCUUGUUGGUGGGGUAGUGGCUUACCAAGGCUUUGACGGGUAGCUGGCCUGAGAGGGUGACCGGCCACAUUGGGACUGAGAUACGGCCCAGACUCCUACGGGAGGCAGCAGUGGGGAAUAUUGCACAAUGGGCGGAAGCCUGAUGCAGCAACGCCGCGUGCGGGAUGACGGCCUUCGGGUUGUAAACCGCUUUCGCCUGUGACGAAGCGUGAGUGACGGUAAUGGGGAAAGAAGCACCGGCUAACUACGU
Molecule: ribosomal RNA, 467 nt
Filed under: uncultured bacterium
Lineage: Bacteria
Description: partial 16S ribosomal RNA
Rfam family: Bacterial small subunit ribosomal RNA
Source: RNAcentral